CCUACGGGAGGCAGCAGUGAGGAAUAGUGGUCAAUGGACGAGAGUCUGAACCAGCCAAGUAGCGUGAAGGAUGACUGCCCUAUGGGUUGUAAACUUCUUUUAUAAGGGAAUAAAACAGGGUAAGCAUACCCUCUUGUAUGUACCAUAUGAAUAAGGAUCGGCUAACGCCGUGCCAGCAGCCGCGGUAAUACGGAGGAUCCGAGCGUUAUCCGGAUGUAUUGGGUUUAAAGGGAGCGUAGGUGGAUUGUUAAGUCAGUUGUGAACGUUUGCGGCUCCACCGUAAAAUUGAUGUUGAAACGGGCAGUCUUGAGUACAGUCGAGGUGGGCGCUAUUCGUGGUGUAGCGG
Molecule: ribosomal RNA, 346 nt
Filed under: uncultured bacterium
Lineage: Bacteria
Description: partial 16S ribosomal RNA
Rfam family: Bacterial small subunit ribosomal RNA
Source: RNAcentral